Molecule: ribosomal RNA, 496 nt
Filed under: uncultured bacterium
Lineage: Bacteria
Description: bacterial SSU rRNA
Rfam family: Bacterial small subunit ribosomal RNA
Source: RNAcentral
UUAUGGCUCAGGAUGAACGCUGGCGGCGUGCUUAACACAUGCAAGUCGAACGGGAAUUACUUUUAGCUUGCUAAGUUGUAAGUUCUAGUGGGCGGACGGGGUGAGUAACGCGUGGGUAACCUGCCUUAUACCGGGGGACAACAGUUGGAAACGGCUGCUAAUACCGCAUAAGCGCACAGUCUCGCAUGAGACAGUGUGAAAAAACUCCGGUGGUAUAAGAUGGACCCGCGUCUGAUUAGCCAGUUGGCGGUGUAACGGACCACCAAAGCGACGAUCAGUAGCCGGCCUGAGAGGGUGAACGGCCACAUUGGGACUGAGACACGGCCCAAACUCCUACGGGAGGCAGCAGUGGGGAAUAUUGCACAAUGGAGGAAACUCUGAUGCAAGCGACGCCGCGUGAGUGAAGAAGUAUUUCGGUAUGUAAAGCUCUAUCAGCAGGAAAGAAAAUGACGGUACCUGACUAAGAAGCCCCGGCUAACUACGUGCCAGCAGCUGC